GGUUUCCUUUGCUGUGCAAAAGCUUUUAAGUUUCAUUAGGCCCCAUUUGUUUAUUUUUGUUUUUAUUUCCAUUUCUCUAGGAGGUGGGUCAAAAAGGAUCUUGCUGUGAUUUAUGUCAUAGAGUGUUCUGCCUAUGUUUUCCUCUAAGAGUUUGAUAGUGUCUGGCCUUAAAUUUAGGUCUUUAAUCCAUUUUGAGUUCAUUUUUGUGUAUGGUGCUAGAGAGUGUUCUAAUUUCAUACUUUUACAUGUACCUGUCCAGUUUUCCCAGCACCACGCAUUGAAGAGUCUGUCUUUUCUCUACUGUAUAUUCUUGCCUCCUUUAUCAAAGAUAAGAUGACCAUAUGUGCGUGGGUUUAUCUCGGGGCUUUCUAUUCUGUUCCAUUGAUCUAUAUUUCUGUUUUUGUGCCAGUACCAUACAGUCUUUUUUUUUUUUUUUUUUUUUUUUGUGGUACACGGGCCUCUCACUGUUGUGGCCUCUCCCGUUGCGGAGCACAGGCUCUGGACGCGCAGGCUCAGUGGCCAUGGCUCACAGGCCUAGCCGCUCCACGGCAUGUGGGAUCCUCCCGGACCGGGGCACGAACCCGGGUCCCCUGCAUUGGCAGGCAGACUCUCAACCACUGCGCCACCAGGGAAGCCCCAUACUGUCUUGAUUACUGUAGCUUUGUAGUAUAGUCUGAAGUCAGGGAGCCUGAAAUUAAGAUAUUUGUAGUGAGGUGGAUGGACCUAGAGUCUGUCAUACAGAGUGAAGUAAGUCAGAAAGAGAAAAACAAAUACCAUAUGCUAACACACAUAUAUGGAAUCUAAAAAAAAAAGAAAAAAAUGGUUCUGAAGAACCUAGGGGCAGGACAGGAAUAAAGACACAGACGUAGAGAAUGGACUUGAGGACACGGGGAGGGGGAAGUGUAAGCUGGGACGAAGUGAGAGAGUGGCAUGGACAUAUAUACACUACCAAAUGUAAAAUAGAUAGCUAGUGGGAAGCAGCCGCAUAGCACAGGGAGAUCAGCUCGGUGCUUUG
Molecule: long non-coding RNA, 1015 nt
Organism: Orcinus orca (killer whale)
Lineage: Eukaryota; Metazoa; Chordata; Mammalia; Artiodactyla; Delphinidae
Exons: 3
Source: RefSeq, a predicted model, not a curated record